RNAcentral lists this ribosomal RNA (497 nucleotides) under uncultured Glomus. RNAcentral's name for it is "SSU rRNA". It matches the Rfam family "Eukaryotic small subunit ribosomal RNA", at positions 569 to 1070 of the family's 1831-position model. Lineage: Eukaryota; Fungi; Glomeromycota; Glomeromycetes; Glomerales; Glomeraceae. The record is from RNAcentral.
AGCAGCCGCGGUAAUUCCAGCUCCAAUAGCGUAUAUUAAAGUUGUUGCAGUUAAAAAGCUCGUAGUUGAAUUUCGGGAUUAAUAUGUUGGUCGUGCCUUGGUACGUACUGGCAUUAUUGGUUCCUACCUUCUGAAGAACCUCGAUGUCAUUAAUUUGGUGUCUUGGGGAAUCAGGACUGUUACUUUGAAAAAUUAGAGUGUUUAAAGCAGGCUCGCGCUUGAAUACAUUAGCAUGGAAUAAUGAAAUAGGACGUUUGAUUCUAUUUUGUUGGUUUCUAGGAUCGACGUAAUGAUUAAUAGGGAUAGUUGGGGGCAUUAGUAUUCAAUUGUCAGAGGUGAAAUUCUUGGAUUUAUUGAAGACUGACUACUGCGAAAGCAUUUGCCAAGGAUGUUUUCAUUAAUACAAGAACGAAAGUUAGGGGAUCGAAGACGAUCAGAUACCGUCGUAGUCUUAACCAUAAACUAUAGCCGACUAGGGAUCGGAUGAUGUUAAUUUU